GCGUCGGUGGUUCAGUGGUAGAAUACUCGACUGCCACGCGGGUGACCCGGGUUCGAUUCCCGGCUGACGCA
RNAcentral lists this transfer RNA (71 nucleotides) under Rhipicephalus microplus (southern cattle tick). Its description in RNAcentral is "tRNA-Gly". It matches the Rfam family "tRNA". From Rfam's summary of the family: Transfer RNA (tRNA) molecules are approximately 80 nucleotides in length. Their secondary structure includes four short double-helical elements and three loops (D, anti-codon, and T loops). The record is from Rfam by way of RNAcentral. Lineage: Eukaryota; Metazoa; Arthropoda; Arachnida; Ixodida; Ixodidae.